This is a long non-coding RNA of Papaver somniferum (opium poppy), 3120 nucleotides long. RefSeq lists it as uncharacterized. The transcript has 5 exons. The record is from RefSeq and is a predicted model, not a curated record. Lineage: Eukaryota; Viridiplantae; Streptophyta; Magnoliopsida; Ranunculales; Papaveraceae.
CUCCCUUGCUAUGUCACUUGCCAUCUCAUCCCUACGUUUAAAACUUGAAAACUUUCAUGAUAAAAGAAAAAGAAAAAAGAACCUAAAAGCAUCACCUAUUCUCCCUACUCUCCUAUGGAACCUUACGCAGCCAAAAAGGGUUUAAUCACUUGAAGUUUACAUUAGAGUUUACAUGAAAAAAUCCAUCUUUUUCAUGUUCUCUUACGACAAGAAAGCUAACAUCUCAAGAUUUUGCUGGGAAACCCUUCUUUCUCCAUAAUAACUUUUCUUAGCGAACUCCAUUUCUCUUAGGGUUUGUUAUCACAUCUCAUCAUGGACGGAGGAAUUUUUAAGAACAUAAAUAAUGAAACACCAUAUGCCUGUAAUGAUUACAUCUCAAUAGCAGUCUUUUUAAUUUUUUGUAAUCUUUGUUUGUUUCGAUCUAUUCUGCAGGUACGAUUUUUAUUGAAACGGAUAUGCAACAAAAUCCCAUUCUUUUUUGCUGCGAAUUUUCUUUGCUCUUGAUAAACAACAAAAUCAUCUCUAUGUGUAAACUCUAACCUUAUUUUUCACAAAGAUUUUUAUUGUUAUUUGGGUUUCUAUAAAAUAUAUUCAAUAUAUGAUAGACAGUUUUUCAAUCCUCAACCGAUUAUAGAGUGUACUUCUUUACCUAUAUUUUACCUAAUUUGAAAUUCAGAACAUUUUAUUGAUUUUAGUAUGCAAUGCCACUAUUUCUCUGUGAACCAGCACACCCUAACAGGAAAGACACCUCUACCAUGAGUUUUAUUUAUCAGUAUUUGUGGGCUCAGUUAAAUGGUCAGGUUGUUAACAAGUUGACCAUAGCUGCACUGCUCAGUGUUGUUGCUGAUAAAGCCUUUUGUCGAGAGGCCAUGUCCAAUUACAAUAUGACUCUUAUUGUGGAUAUUCAGCCAGGUCUGCAUGGGAAGAGACAAUGCGCGAGCUAAAUGGAGCUGGAUAUGCGCCAGGUAAUGGAUCCAGAGCUGUUGUGGGUGAGGGUUUGGUGCCAUGAAAAUACGUCUUAUGCAAUCCAACGAGAUGGGAAGCUCAGCAACAAAGAAAAUGAAGUGUCAUAGAAUUGCAGUUCUCUUGAAUGUUAUGUCAUCAGCUGGUAGUGUGAACGGAGUAGUUUUCAUCAGUAGCUGGUCCUAGAGUUGUCUGAUAUGGAGUCGUUGUGACCUCAAGGAUGAAGAGAACUUGAGUUAAGAGCAGAUCCCAGUGGAAUUAGCGAUAAAUGUUACUACCGGGGAACUUUUAAUACAAUGAACAUGUUUCCUGAUGGAAAUUAUGUUUGUUGUAUCAAGCCAUGUAAAUUCCUACUUUACGUGGGAGCCUGGGAAGGUCGGCUUCUUUGAUAUCUACAUCCAAUUGUACAGGUAAACCUUCUUGACUUAGUAUGUAUGCACUCCUUUCUUAUCCAUCGAUCAUUGCUCUUUUGGUACAGCAUAAAUAAUUUAUUGAUAAUUAUGGCCAUUUUCUGAGAUUGUUAAGUUGUUGAAUUCCGAGUACAUCAAUAACGGCUCAUGUACAGGGUACUGAUCAGUACAUUUGGCAAUUGCAUAUGGUUAUCAACAGGGGCCGAGCCACAUUGAGAGGUGGGUGGGCAAUUGCACCCCCUCAAAUUUAAGCUUCCAAACCUAAUUUAAGCACUUUCCCCCCAAUUUUAGUCAUUUUAACCCUUUUGCACCCCCUAAAAUGUGCACCGGCUGAUAACUUGCCCACCCAUUUCUAGAUUUCUGGCUCCGCCCCUGGUUAUCAACUACCUUCACAUGUUAAGAGAACAAUAUACUCUGUAUAUCUAUUAGCAAUGGAUACAGACUACUUAUGGUUCCUACUCCUAGAUAGUUCAAUGCACAAAAGUCAUCUCUAACAGUGCAUACAAUCAUUGCAAGCAAUGGCAAUUGCAUAGCCGUACAUAUUUAGGUGAAUGUGAAUGCCCAAUCUGAGGGUUAGUAGAGUGAUGGGCCCAAAUGCAACGCAUGAGUUUGUGCACUUCAGGGUACUCCGUGCUUGCAAUAUAAAUUUUCAUGAAGAACAUGCAGUCAAGCAGUAUAAGUUACUUUAUAGAAAGAAAGUCAGUCAUACUUUGUUUUAAAUUCACCAUGGGAUGACCUCGACAAAGGUUUUCUUGGUUCACCUGAUGGAAUCAUUGGUAAUGAUGGAAUUCCAGAGAUCAAAAGCCUACAUUUUGGUGAUGUUGAUGUUGCAAAAUAUUUAUCGUGGGACGAGUACAUCUUCAAUGUAUUCCUCAAUAUGGAGCUAUUGGGUCGAUAUUGGUUGAAUUAUCAAGUAUAGGAGGGUCAUAAAGGUACUGUGAAGUUGGAGUGGUAUAUAUAAAAGUAGUUUAUGUAGAAUUUAUAGGAAUAUAGAUCAGUGCAUGGGAGAUAUUGAAAGAAGCUUUAUACUAAUAACAUCGUUAAGGGCCGUCUCGAAGAGCUAACAUUUUGACCAGCACCUAGACAUGAAUUAUAUGGUGUCAUUAACGAGGCAAUAGCCCUAAUGUUGCCUUUAAUCAGUAUCUGCUACUAGAGGACUUUGUACAUUGUUGAGUUGGAGAUUGCAAAGUGGGUUUUACAAAUGAUUUGGUUGCGGCUGAUAAAACAUUUACAUGGCUUCACCAGGUUAGGGAUUUGAAUCUUUACGUUUAUAUGCCCUUAUCAAUGUUCGCGACCUCAAAUAUUAAAUGCACCCUAGCAAACUGCAGGUUAAUUGUAGAUUUUUGUUCGUACAGUUAUACUCAUGAUGGGUGUUUUUUGUCAUUUGCAAGACUGAUGACUUUGGUUCCAGAAAUGAAACCUCGAAAACAUUGACAAUGUCAUGUUUCUGUGUCGUACUGCUAAGAGAAAAUAUGAUUUCCCCUCUCGCAAAGCAAAGCAAAGCCAUCCAUUACUUUCAUGGGGAAUUUUCAAAACCCAACUACCACAAGCUGUAGCGUGCAUGAGAGCAUUGACAACAUUUCACAGUGUGACGGUCACGAUCGACUCUGGCUACUUUGUGCCCAUCAACAUAAUAUUUGUGGUAAUAAUUCAUAUAUGAAAUUCAAUUCUUUUAAUUGAAGAUGAAAUUCUUUGUAUAUUUGUAUAACAGUAUAACGUGAUGUUCAAAAGCCUAGCAUUUUUUACU